Non-coding RNA from Cinara cedri, 1354 nucleotides. The record is from the annotation of a GenBank genome assembly. Lineage: Eukaryota; Metazoa; Arthropoda; Insecta; Hemiptera; Aphididae.
AAAACGACAGAGGGGUUUCAAUGGUUCUCCUCGGAUGGCCCCGUAAGUUAUUCAAUUAAAUCUACUACGCGCGAAACGAUUGCACAUUUAAACGGAAUCGUACGUAUUACGCAUAAUAAAAAAAUUAUGUUUUAUUUAUCAUUUUUUGCGGUGUUAAUAAAUCGUAUUUAUAAACUAAAUCCGUUAGAAUAUUUUAACUUAAUAAAUUCCCUGCAGUCGUUUUAUAUUUUCUUGAUACUCGAAGACAACACGUUCAACACGAAUCCGUUACUUGUUUACCUACUUAUUAUCUUUUUGUAUUUUAUUAUCAUCACACGUUAUUGCUCGUUUUUACAGCAAAUGCACUCAUUCAAUGAGCGAAUAGAUAACAACAAAUUAUUAUAUUACAAUAUUCUAUAAUAUUACCGAUAUCGUACACACCGCGAUUGCGUAUUCCGAUACCGACGAAACGAUAACAGUGAUAACGGAAUCUGGCACUAAUCCAUAAUGCGUCGAAAUUUAAUAUCCAUACAUGACGGGGUGUUGUCGUACGAAAAUAUCGCGCCCGAACGUGUCGAAUUACAAAUCGAUACUGCAACUGUUCGUACUGUACGUUCCGUACCGGCGGUGACCGACUACGGCCCGCGGAUCGCGUGUUAAUCGCGGCCCGCCAAAGUGUUGAUUAAAUCGAAAUUUGAAAAUAGAAAAUAACCCCGAAUUUCAAAAAAAAAAAACCAAAAUUCACAUUAAAAAUAGACAUACCGUGUUUAUUACUGCACGCGUUUUUUCUCCCGUUUAUAACGAACGAAUCAAUGCGUCGUGAAUAAUUGAAUAUGUCACCGUAUGCACUGUUGACUCGAAAGUAAAAGAGUUUAAAUUCUCGGUCCGUCGAGAAUUAUUGUUGUUUUGUUUUUCCUACGACCUAUUUUUCUACGGAAAAAAGGUCGGUCACCGCUGCUCCGUACGAAACUGUCCGCGCGUGAUUUUGAGUUUUCGCCGGACGGGAUUCGCGGGUCGCAGCGAAUGAUUCCCGCCGUCCGCCCGUCCGUGUCCCCGCGCGUGAAAACACGUCAAGACACGGACGUCCGUCGAAAACGAUUGAUUUCCGCCGUGGCAUUUUGCUUCGGUCGCGUACAUUUUCCCGUCGUGUUAUCGGCACGCCGAUCCGGUCCCCGUUCGUCGUCGAUACGCGCGUCAUUAUUCGGUCUCCGUUCGUUUUCCGAUCCUUUAUCGAAAUAUACGAAUUCGUUUUCAUACAAAAAAAAAAAAAUAAAAAAUAAAUAAAAAUAUUUUCUAUUGACAGCGUUUAUUAUUGUUAUUACGAUGUCGACUGAGAGGGUUCUUUAAUAAAAAACAAAUUAUAUAUAUAUAUACG